Molecule: ribosomal RNA, 216 nt
Filed under: Glomeromycotina sp.
Lineage: Eukaryota; Fungi; Glomeromycota
Description: partial small subunit ribosomal RNA
Rfam family: Eukaryotic small subunit ribosomal RNA (bases 39-216)
Source: RNAcentral
GGGUCAGUAGGUUGGUCGUGCCACCGGUACGUACUGGCUUUACUGAUUCCUCCUUCCUGAAGAACCGUAAUGCCAUUAAUUUGGUGUUGCGGGGAAACAGGACUGUUACUUUGAAAAAAUUAGAGUGUUUAAAGCAAGCUAACGCUUGAAUACAUUAGCAUGGAAUAAUGAAAUAGGACGAUCGAUCCUAUUUUGUUGGUUUCUAGGAUUGACGUA